This 253-nucleotide ribosomal RNA is filed under the name uncultured bacterium. RNAcentral describes it as "partial 16S ribosomal RNA". It matches the Rfam family "Bacterial small subunit ribosomal RNA", at positions 524 to 776 of the family's 1533-position model. The record is from RNAcentral.
UACAGAGGGUGCAAGCGUUAAUCGGAUUUACUGGGCGUAAAGCGUGCGUAGGCGGUUCAUUAAGUCGGUUGUGAAAUCCCUGGGCUUAACCUGGGAACUGCAGUCGAUACUGGCGGACUAGAGUACGGUAGAGGGUGGCGGAACUCCGGGUGUAGCGGUGAAAUGCGUAGAUAUCCGGAAGAACACCGAUGGCGAAGGCAACCACCUGGGCCUGUACUGACGCUGAGGUACGAAAGCGUGGGGAGCAAACAGG